Molecule: ribosomal RNA, 200 nt
Filed under: uncultured bacterium
Lineage: Bacteria
Description: partial 16S ribosomal RNA
Rfam family: Bacterial small subunit ribosomal RNA
Source: RNAcentral
AUUGAACGCUGGCGGCAUGCUUUACACAUGCAAGUCGAACGGUAACAGGCCGCAAGGUGCUGACGAGUGGCGAACGGGUGAGUAAUGCAUCGGAACGUGCCCAGUCGUGGGGGAUAACGCAGCGAAAGCUGCGCUAAUACCGCAUACGAUCUAUGGAUGGAAAGCGGGGGACCGUAAGGCCUCGCGCGAUUGGAGCGGCC